AUCCAGCUGAAGAGUCCCAAACGGUACGAAAUGCGCGUCCUGGAU
This is a non-coding RNA of Schistosoma mansoni, 45 nucleotides long. The record is from Rfam. Lineage: Eukaryota; Metazoa; Platyhelminthes; Trematoda; Strigeidida; Schistosomatidae.